GACGUAGGUGGCGAACGUUAUCCGGAAUUAUUGGGCGUAAAGGGUGCGUAGGUGGCCUGACAAGUUAUCAGUGGCAAAUCGAGGCUCAACCUCGUGGAAACUGGUAAUACUGUCCGGCUUGAGUACAGGAGAGGUUAACGGAACUCUAUGUGGAGCGGUAAAAUGCACAGAUAUAUAGAAGAACAUCAAUAAAGGCGAAGGCAGUUAACUAUUCUGUUACUGACGUUGAGGCACGAAAGCGUGGGGAGCAAAACGG
Molecule: ribosomal RNA, 256 nt
Filed under: uncultured bacterium
Lineage: Bacteria
Description: partial 16S ribosomal RNA
Rfam family: Bacterial small subunit ribosomal RNA
Source: RNAcentral